This is an RNA transcript of Zingiber officinale, 1372 nucleotides long. It is a transcript of the gene named calmodulin-like, with no coding region annotated. The transcript is spliced from 5 exons. Lineage: Eukaryota; Viridiplantae; Streptophyta; Magnoliopsida; Zingiberales; Zingiberaceae. The record is from RefSeq and is a predicted model, not a curated record.
UCGGCAAGGAGUCUUUAGCAAUCGUCAAGCAAGUCAAGCCCCUGGUUCCCCUCGCCCAAUAUAAAGCCAGCGGGAAGGGAGUGAGGAAGACGAAAUCAAGGAGGCGGAAAGAAGAAGAGCGGAAAGUAGUGAAUCGUCUGUCCUCAUUGCGAUCAAUGGCGGAGCAGUUGACGGAGGAGCAGAUCGCUUUUUUCAAGGAGGCAUUCAGCCUCUUCGACAAGGACGGAAACGGCUGCAUAACUACAAAAGAGUUAGGCACCAUUAUGAGAUCCUUAGGCCAAAACCCAAGUGAAGCUGAAUUGAGAGAUAUGAUCAGUGAAGUUGAUGCUGACCAAAAUGGAACAAUUGAUUUUCUUGAGUUCUUGAAUCUGAUGACACGUAAAACCAAGGAUGCUGAUUCUGAGGAGGAGCUGAUGGAGGCAUUCAAAGUGUUUGACAAGGACUCAAACGGGUUCAUUUCUGCUCAAGAGCUCCGCCAUGUGAUGGCAACCCUGGGCGAGAAAUUUACGGACGAGGAGGUCGACGAAAUGAUACGAGAAGCAGACAUCAACGGCGAUGGACAAGUCGACUAUCAGGAGUUUGUGCAGAUGAUGUUGGCCAAGUAAUACUCGCAUCAGUUUACCAAACUACCCCGGCUUGUUACAAACUGUUAUGGGCCACAAUCAUGGCUAACCAGCCUUUUUUGGUCGAGUGCUUCACAUGAACAUUUUGGUCUUUAUUUCGAGACACAAAUGAGAGAUCAAUAAGUAUCUGAUCGAUCAGCUCAAUCCAGAUCCUUUGCCUCCUCCUCGUCCUCCAUCGCCUCGUCCCCGAUCUUGAUCACCUCCUCCACUCCUCCGUUCAUAGCCGCUCUGCCUCGGGCGGUGGCCUCUGAUGACGCCACCAGCGCUGCCGCCGCCGGAGCAGAACUGGCGCUGCCCUUGUGGUUGUGCAUCCACACCUUGAACGCCUGCCUGGUCACCCCGAUCCCGCGGCAGAACCUCGAGACCUGAUCCUCCUCCUCGCCUCCGGCCCUGGCACGGCCCCUCGGGAUCUUCCACCCAAGCCUCUCCGCGCAGCGAGCCAUGCGCUGCUUCUGCUCCUCCGAAAACCUCGCCCGCGGCCGCCGCCUCUCGCUCCGCCCAGGCAGGGUGCCGGCGACGCAGAAGUCCGUGCGGUGGAAGUUGCGGUGGCAGCCGCACGCGCCGCACUGCAGCUGGCGGUCUCCGGACGCCGGAAUGAACCUGCAACAGCCGUCCACGGUGUAGCCGGCGCCGUGCCUCAGCGAGUGGUUCCUCAUGCACUCUUUAUACACCUCCCUCACGCCCUCAUGACCCUCCAUCACCAUGGGUUCCAAUGCUUCGCUAUGCGUGUUCUUGGAUUUAUAGAGUAG